UAGGGAAUAUUGGACAAUGGAGGAAACUCUGAUCCAGCCAUCCCGCGUGAAGGAUUAAGGUCCUAUGGAUUGUAAACUUCUUUUCUUUGGGAAUAAAAUCUCCGAUUCUUCGGAGCUUGAAGGUACCAGGGGAAUAAGCACCGGCUAACUCCGUGCCAGCAGCCGCGGUAAUACGGAGGGUGCAAGCGUUAUCCGGAUUCACUGGGUUUAAAGGGUGCGUAGGUGGUUUUGUAAGUCAGUGGUGAAAGCCUACAGCUUAACUGUAGAAUUGCCAUUGAUACUGCUUAACUUGAAUCAAGUCGAAGUGGAUGGAAUAGAUCAUGUAGCGGUGAAAUGCUUAGAUAUGAUUUAGAACACCAAUUGCGAAGGCAGUUCACUAGGCUUGUAUUGACACUGAGGCACGAAAGCGUGGGGAUCAAACA
Molecule: ribosomal RNA, 422 nt
Filed under: uncultured bacterium
Lineage: Bacteria
Description: bacterial SSU rRNA
Rfam family: Bacterial small subunit ribosomal RNA
Source: RNAcentral